AUCUUCCUCGUGUUGUUGCUGUGUAUGUGUUUGGAUCAGUCGGUGUUGUGUUACUGAACUCUGUUGCUCUGAUAACAGAACUGAUCCUGAAAACAGGUAAUGGUGAAGGUGCGAUCGGAGACAUGAGGAUCGUCAUCUUCUCCUCUGAAUUCCUCUUCACCUUCAUUCUGAUGGUUUUACUGGUAUUUGAACCCUGGAUCACACCAGGUCUGCAGUCUUGUCAGGUUAGUAUCAGAAACUAAUGUGAUGCAUUCUCCUGCAGUGAGUUAAAGGUGCUCUUGGUGAUUUGAUGUUUCUCGAAGUCUUUAAAUGCUUCAUACAGACACACAUCAGUUUGGACGCAAGCAAACGUUUCUGAUUACUGAAGUCACUGUGGAAAUAGACCUGCUCUAUUCACAUUUCUAUUUGUCACCUGAGAAGAACUGAUUCCACAAACUCUAUAAUAAUAAAGGGACAGAUGUGUAAAUUAAUUCUGCUUCAUUACUGAAGUACUGUUUUGAG
RNAcentral lists this long non-coding RNA (501 nucleotides) under Sinocyclocheilus grahami. RNAcentral's name for it is "lncRNA (ENSSGRG00000003712.1)". Lineage: Eukaryota; Metazoa; Chordata; Actinopteri; Cypriniformes; Cyprinidae. The record is from RNAcentral.